GCUACCAUAGCUCAGUGGUUCGAGCACUGGUCUCUUAUGACCAGGGGUCGUGCGGUUCCAAUCCUCGCAGGUAUUU
This is a non-coding RNA of Araneus ventricosus, 76 nucleotides long. NCBI's taxonomy places the organism in Eukaryota, Metazoa, Arthropoda, Arachnida, Araneae, Araneidae. The record is from the annotation of a GenBank genome assembly.